GAUGCUAAUACCGGAUAACAACAGAUGAUGCCUAUCAACUGUUUAAAGAUGGUUCUNGCUAUCACUCUUGGAUGGACCUGCGGUGCAUUAGCUAGUUGGUAGGGUAACGGCCUACCAAGGCGAUGAUGCAUAGCCGAGUUGAGAGACUGAUCGGCCACAUUGGGACUGAGACACGGCCCAAACUCCUACGGGAGGCAGCAGUC
RNAcentral lists this ribosomal RNA (203 nucleotides) under uncultured Lactobacillus sp. Its description in RNAcentral is "partial 16S ribosomal RNA". It matches the Rfam family "Bacterial small subunit ribosomal RNA", at positions 159 to 355 of the family's 1533-position model. The record is from RNAcentral. Lineage: Bacteria; Bacillati; Bacillota; Bacilli; Lactobacillales; Lactobacillaceae.